RNAcentral lists this unclassified non-coding RNA (756 nucleotides) under Hevea brasiliensis (rubber tree). The record is from RNAcentral. Lineage: Eukaryota; Viridiplantae; Streptophyta; Magnoliopsida; Malpighiales; Euphorbiaceae.
GAGAGCGAGAGAGAGAGAUGGGUUGUUGUUUUUCUUGCAGAUCAUCACCUAAACUCAACAACAUUCGUGUAGUUCAUCUGAAUGGUUAUGUAGAGGAUUUUGAUUAUCCAGUUUCUGUUAGCGAAAUCACAGGUGAACCCCCUAAACAUUUUGUAUGCACACCAGUUCAGCUUCUAUCAACAGGGUCCAAGCCACUAAAGCCAGAAACCCAACUUCAACCAGGCCAAAUCUACUUCUUGCUUCCUUACUCAACCUUUGCAGCUGAAGCUUCUCCUAUGGACCUUGCCGCUGUGGUAAAGAAGCUUAAUUCAAUAGCAAAAUCAAGCAAUUGUCAAGCUAACAAGUCUUCAAGAACUAUGCCAAUCUUGAAUUCGCCUGCUACAAGUCCUAGCAGGUUUAUGGAGCCACCGACAAGUGGUAUUGCAAAUGGUAUGAGAAGGUCUAAUGGUGGAAGGUCAUGGAAGCCACUUCUUGACACCAUCAGAGAGAAAUCCUUUAAUCGAAGGAGCGAAUCAGAAGUGCUACAACAGGAAAUGCAGUUGGAGAACUCUGAAUCGUAGUUGAAUGCAUGAUCUGUAGAAGGUAGGUAGGUAGAAGUAAAUGUAGAAAGAUUAGCAAUAUCUAUCAAGAAUUGGUAGCUAAAUGACCUUUUCAAUGUAAAGUUUGGUGUACUAGUGUUGAAAGAUUGAAUAAAAUCUUUUUUUACUGCGUUGGUAUUUGAUGCAUAGCUACUACAUCUUCAAAUGUGAAUUCCAU